This 501-nucleotide ribosomal RNA is filed under the name uncultured bacterium. Its description in RNAcentral is "bacterial SSU rRNA". It matches the Rfam family "Bacterial small subunit ribosomal RNA", at positions 9 to 523 of the family's 1533-position model. The record is from RNAcentral.
GAGUUUGAUCAUGGCCAGGACGACCCCUGGCGGCGUGCCUAACACAUGCAAGUCGAACGAGGUCCCAGGAGUGCUUGCACUCCUGAAGACCUAGUGGCGAACGGGUGAGUAACACGUGAGAAACCUGCCCCAGACUCUGGGAUAACCCAAGGAAACUUGAGCUAAUACCGGAUACCCUCCUGCGGUCGCAUGGCUGCUUGAGGAAAGUUUUUCGGUCUGGGAGGGUCUCGCGGCCUAUCAGCUAGUUGGUGGGGUAACGGCCCACCAAGGCUACGACGGGUAGCUGGUUUGAGAGAACGAUCAGCCACACUGGAACUGAGACACGGUCCAGACUCCUACGGGAGGCAGCAGUGGGGAAUCUUGUGCAAUGGGCGAAAGCCUGACGCAGCAACGCCGCGUGCGGGAUGAAUGCCUUCGGGUUGUAAACCGCUUUCAGCAGGGACGAAAAUGACGGUACCUGCAGAAGAAGCCCCGGCUAACUACGUGCCAGCAGCGCGGUAA